GAUGAACGCUGGCGGCGUGCCUAAUACAUGCAAGUCGAGCGAACAGACGAGGAGCUUGCUCCUCUGACGUUAGCGGCGGACGGGUGAGUAACACGUGGAUAACCUACCUAUAAGACUGGGAUAACUUCGGGAAACCGGAGCUAAUACCGGAUAAUAUAUUGAACCGCAUGGUUCAAUAGUGAAAGACGGUUUUGCUGUCACUUAUAGAUGGAUCCGCGCCGCAUUAGCUAGUUGGUAAGGUAACGGCUUACCAAGGCAACGAUGCGUAGCCGACCUGAGAGGGGGAUCGGCCACACUGGAAAUGAGACACGGUCCAGCCUCCUACGGGAGGCAGCAGGAGGGAAUCUUCCGCAAUGGGCGAAAGCCUGACGGAGCAACGCCGCGUGAGUGAUGAAGGUCUUCGGAUCGUAAAACUCUGUUAUUAGGGAAGAACAAAUGUGUAAGUAACUAUGCACGUCUUGACGGUACCUAAUCAGAAAGCCACGGCUAACUACGUG
Molecule: ribosomal RNA, 497 nt
Filed under: uncultured bacterium
Lineage: Bacteria
Description: partial 16S ribosomal RNA
Rfam family: Bacterial small subunit ribosomal RNA
Source: RNAcentral